UCUUUAUUCUUAUUAAAAUGCACGAAAGUAGGAUAAUACACAAACUUCAUCAAAUGCAUUUUUACGGUGUAAUAACAAUGAAAAUUUGGACUAUUUUGUCUCAGUGUGUUGUUUGGUUUUGUCCAAUGACAUUCCGCGAAGUCAAAUAGUUCUAUUAUUGAACUAGUUUGACGGGUUUAUUACUGUAUAAAAUAGGUUUACCAUACAAGACAUAAAUACUUUAUAAAUCAUCACGCAGUAACCACUAACCCUUCUUCUCAUUAAACUAUCCGUUUUACAAGAAUUAUUACGCUUCAAUUUGAUGUGUUAUUCGGAUUGUCUCCAAUUUUCGAUCUUCCGCGCGAUGACACACUUUGAAACUGUGAGUGUUAACUAAGCGGCAGAGGCCGCAAGCGGCCCGCCGCAAAAACCACACCGAACGUGAGACAAAGAACUAUUGCUUUGGAUAAAGCGUUAAUGAUAAGACAAAGAGCACAUUUAAGUACGAUAUUGAUCUGCUCCUGUUGGUUAAUAAAACAUAGUUGUCACAGACGGAAUCAAGGGUCGGUGUAAUAUCUUCCAAAUACAGUUGAAUGUAAAGCCCAGUUUACAAGUGCCACACUGGCUGCUGGCCAGGAGAUAGAGGUUGAAGUAUAUCUCAGGGUCAAAUGUCCUUUUCCUGUCAGAUUCUCAAAAGUCAACAUCUCCCUUAACAAUCCUAUGUAUAAUCAGUAUCUAGAGGUGAUAGAUGGACAUGGAAUAUCUGCUGCUUCAGAGUCCAAGAGUAAAGAAGGAAAUUUAUACCUGGUACCCAGCACUCCUAGUUGCUACAAGUUCUCCUUCCUGCCUGUGCAAGAGGACAUUGGGAGCCAGCUUGAGGUUCACUACCAGUUAAACCCUAUGAAAUGACGUAUAACCUGUUUCCAUUGGUUGCUGGUCAUGUUGCUCUUCCCAAGAAAUAUCUGAACAUGUUGAGGUCGGGGUACCCCAUUGUACAGAAAAUGUUACCCACUCACAUCUUUAUUAAGCCUCUUGGUAAAGUGCCACCUGGUGAGAGGUAAACCAGUUCACAUUUUGAAGGUCCAAGUCAUCGAUUUGAUUGCAAAGAUUGGUAUGGAUUCUAGUGAUUUCAGACUAAUUGGAAUACAACUAUUGCUUCUUGUGGGUUGAAUAUAUAAUUUUAUUUCAAUACACGGGCCUGUGACAGAAUUGAAAUUUUAAUGGAGAUAUUCACCCCAGAAAUAUGAAUCGUUCUGACAGUUUCUAGUGUUAUUUUGUAUCUUAACAUCUGUUGACACAUUUGUACAAAAAAAACGUGAAUUUGUGGUAGUUAAAAAUUUAAAGCAAAGCAAGAAAACGAGAGUAGAGUGAAUUUUUUUACGUCACAUAAUAUAAUCAUAAUAGAUUUCUACUUAUUUUCAAAUUUUAUGCUAGAUUUAUACUUUAUUACAAGAACUUCUAAUGAGGGCAAGUGUCCAUUUUUGUCCCAGUGGUUACUGGUUGCUUAAUCACAUGUUUGUCCUACAGACACUUACUGAUGGUUUCUCAGUUACUGUAAAGAUAUGAAAGGAGCAGGUUAAAAGUUGGGGCUGAUUUUAUGAAUUUUAUUAUUUCAUGAAUGACAAAGAUAUGGACCGGACACGCCCAUCAAUGCACUAUCAUGAAAUAUGACCUUUAACAUCUAAGUGUGACCUUGACCUUUGAGCUACAGACCUGGGUCUUGCGCGCGAUAUGUCUUACUGUGGUACACAUUCAUGCCCAAUAUUUUUAAAAUCCAUGCAUGAAUGACAAAGAUAUGGACCGGACACGCCUAUCAAUGCACUAUCAUGAAAUAUGACCAUUAACGUCUAAGUGUGACCUUGACCUUUGAGCUACAGACCUGGGUCUUGCACGCGACACGUCGACUUACUGUGCCACACAUUUAUGCGUAGUUACUUGAAAAUCCAUCCAUGGAUGACAAAGAUAUGGACCGGACACGCCCAUCAAUGCACUAUCAUGAAAAAUGACCUUUAACGUAUUUCUGGUCUGCUUAGAUGGAAAUUGUAUUUUUGUGUUUGGUUAAACACAUGCUCUUUAUUGUCAAAGUCAGCCUUUUACUUCUUAUUUAUGUUUUAUCAAAGUCAAUUUUGUACUAGUAUAUAUCAAUAUAAAUAUAUAUGUUAAAAUUGUUAUGCUUGGAGUUAGUUUUUGAGUUUCUGUUAGAGAGUAAAUCAUGUUUAUCUGGUAGUAUCCAUUUGAAAUAUAUUGAAGUGUACUGAUUUCUUUCUCUUUUUUUGUUAUCAAAAUAUUAAAUAUAAUAAGACUGUAUGACAAAGAUUCAUAUUUAUAAUAUCAUUUUGUUUCAAAGCCACAAAUGCAUUUUUUUAGCUCAUCUGAUUUUUUGAAAAAAAAAAGAUUGAGGAGUUAUUGCCAUCACUUGAGCGGCACUGGCGUCUGUCGGCGUUGCCUGGUUAAGUUUUAUGUUUAGGUCAACUUUUCUCCUAAACUAUCAAAGCUAUUGCUUCAAAAUUUGCAACACUAGUUCACCAUCAAAAGCUGAUUCUGUACAGCAAGAAACAUAACUCCAUCCUGCUUUUUUGCAAGAAUUAUUGCCCUUUUUGGACUUAGAAAAUCAGAUUUCUUUGUUAAGUUUUAUGUUUAAGUCAACUUUCCUCCUUAACUAUCAAAGCUAUUGCUUUAAAACUUGCAACACUUGUUCACCAUCAAAAGCUGACUCUGUACAGCAAGAAACAGAACUCAUCCUGCUUUUUUUUUUUUUGCAAGAAUUAUGGCCCCUUUUGGACUUAGAAAAUAAGAUUACUUGGUUAAGUUUUGCGUUUCGGUCAUUUUUUUUCCUUAAUGGUCAAAGCUAUUGCUUUAAAACUUGGAGUAGUUAUUCACCAUUAAAAGCUGGCUGCACUGCAAGCACCAUAAUUCUACAUUGCUUUUUUGCAAAAAAAAUACGGCCCCUUUUAGAUUUAGAAAAUCAUGGGUAGGAUACUCCUAUUAGAUAAAAAAAAUCAGAUGAGCGUCUGCACCUGCAGGGCAGUGCUCUUGUUAACGAGUAGAAUGAGAAACAGUUGAUGAGAACAUUGGUAGAAUGGUCAAUUUUGCCUUUAAUGCUGAUACAUAUACCUUACUUAUUUAUUAAGGUAAUAGCACUUCAAACAGAAUGGGAAGAAUUGUACAAGAGUUCAAAGAAUAAAGUUGGCAGUGUUGGUCAAGCCAUGUAAGAUCAUCUUCAUUAACAUGUUUGACCAUUAAAAUUAUUAUAAUUAUGCAAUACAUGAAGUUUUUGUUCAGAAACAUAGAUCAGUUUUGAUACGAGUCCAUAUACACGAUAGAAAGUAAUACUUGUUAAUGGCUAUGUUAAUUUGAGUCAAUAUACACAUGAUAGAACAGUAUUUUUGUUAAAGACUAUCUUAAUACGAUGCAUAAAAUAUUCUAUGUAAAUGGUCAUGUGCAAUACAGUUUUGAUUUUGAAAAUAAUAAAGUAUAUUGUGUCAAACAUACGAGUGCAGCUUGU
This is an RNA transcript of Mercenaria mercenaria, 3484 nucleotides long. It is a transcript of the gene named trafficking protein particle complex subunit 11-like, with no coding region annotated. NCBI's taxonomy places the organism in Eukaryota, Metazoa, Mollusca, Bivalvia, Venerida, Veneridae. The record is from RefSeq and is a predicted model, not a curated record. The transcript is spliced from 5 exons.